RNAcentral lists this long non-coding RNA (683 nucleotides) under Mytilus galloprovincialis (Mediterranean mussel). Lineage: Eukaryota; Metazoa; Mollusca; Bivalvia; Mytilida; Mytilidae. The record is from RNAcentral.
UUGUUGGUUGAACGAGUUGUAUAUAUAUAGGCAGAUUUAACAGUGUUGUGCUGUCGUAGAGUUAUCACUUGUUUGACCUUUGUUUUUAAAUUCUUUAGACUAAUCAGUGACGUUCAUAUCAAAUUAGUUAAAAAGCCAAACAAGUAUAAACUUGACGAGCAUUGAGGACCAAAAAUUCCAAAAGUUGUGCCAAACACGGCUAAAGUAAUCUUUGCUUUCGAUAAGAAAAUCCUUAGUAUUUCGAAUAAUUCAUACUUUUGCAAAGCGUAUUAUCUGAAUGAAUUGAGUUCCUAAUAAAUGUUAUAAUUCUACCGAUGUUUCUAUGUUAUAGUAAAUAGUAAAAGAACAGAAAUACCAAACUCCAAUUAUAAUUUGAUACGCCAGACGCGCGUUUCGUAUACAUUAGAUUCAUCAGUGACGCUCAGAUCAAAAAAGUUAGAAAGUCACACAAGAAUAAAUUUGAAGAGCAUUGAGGACCCCAAAUUCCAAAAAGUUGUGCCAAAUACGGCUUAGGUAAAUACAGGCAAUAGUAUUUAUACUUUGGUUAAGAAAAUCCUUAGUAUUUCGAAUAAUUCAUACUUUUGCAAACAGUAAAUCCAAUGCCACAACGUACGAUUUUCCAAAACAGCUUUCUAUGACUACUUUAUCGUUAUUUAUCAGACAAGUUACGGAGUAUCACCCAA